This is an RNA transcript of Myxocyprinus asiaticus (Chinese sucker), 4261 nucleotides long. It is a transcript of the gene named protein FAM72A-like, with no coding region annotated. The transcript is spliced from 4 exons. NCBI's taxonomy places the organism in Eukaryota, Metazoa, Chordata, Actinopteri, Cypriniformes, Catostomidae. The record is from RefSeq and is a predicted model, not a curated record.
UCCGCUUCGACGCGAACGUAAACAAACGUAGCUUAGCAAGCUUAAGCAUUGUUGCAACGGCGGAAAUAUUGUACCGGUGUACAAUGUGUUUUUCUGCAGCCUAGAUCUCGAACGAUUUGAUAUCCGAUAACAGGUCAGAAUAAUUGUACGGCAUGCUUGGUAGAAUAACUGCUUCAUAUUUUAGCUGGCUAGCUUCCUUUCAAGCAAUGGUAACAGUUCCCUUGGCUAUUCUGUGUUCUAAUUGAAGCAUGAGCUGAUUUAGAAACGAAUUUAGAUUUAUAAAGUUAAUUUGAUUGGGGUUUAAUUUUGUUUUGUGAUCAGUAGACUCAGAAUUGGAGACAUUGCAGACGUUGUACAGGUGAAAAAUAGACUAGAGAUAGCUGGUUAACCAGGUGCAGGUUUUAAUGUACUGCUAGGUCCAUAUGUUUUUAAAACAUCUAACCGUCACACAGCUAGUAUUCACUUUCGGCUGAUUUAGUAGUUCACAUUUUAUUCAAGCAGGACCCGGCGUUUUGUGAGGAUUUUUACUGAAGAGAUAACAACUUGCAACCAUGUCUACUUCAAACUUCAAGAAUAAGUGUGUGACCCAAGUCAACUGUAUAUACUGUGAUAGUCUGCUGUGUAUGAGAGGGAUGAAAGCUGUUCUGUUAGCCGAUACGGAAACUGAGUUGUUCUCAACCGACAUACCCCCAAACAGGACAGUUGACUUCGUGGCAAGCUGCUAUUCCACUGAGAGCUGCAAAUGCAAAUUAAGGGACAUUGCCUGUUUGAAAUGUGGAAAUGUUGUGGGAUAUCACGUGGUGGCCCCAUGCAAGCCCUGCUUGCUCUCCUGCAACAAUGGUCACUUCUGGAUGUUCAACAGUGAGGCUGUGUCCACCAUCAAUAGACUGGAUGCAACAGGUUUGAGACACCUGUCCACAUUUGCUGCAAAACCACUGUCUGUUUAAGCAGAGGUGCUUAUGUUCAAACAGCUUUUCAGUCAGCUAGAGAGCGCAAUCCCAGAGGACUGGGUGCUCAAAUAUGCACUGAGAUUGAAAUAUAAACGCAAAACACUUUUAGAGAAUCGUUUAAAUGGAUAUUUCAACCAAAAAUGAGAAUUCUGUGAUCAUUUAAUCACUUUAAUUUAGUUUCAAACCCAUGUGAUUUUCUAUGUUUUUGCUUUUCACGUAAAUGUGUUAUAUCUUUUGAUGAUGCAUGGGUCGACUCACACUCACUAGAUGGUUCAGGUCAGGCAAGUGUGGAUUUUAAAUAAAGUAGUGGGCACAAGUUUUUAUACAGUAUUUAGAGUUUCCAGUAAUGAAAAACCUGUUUAUAUCAAAGAAUUUGCACAGGCAUGAAAUUUAGUAAUAUCUAAAAAAAAAAUCAUGGAAAAAGUAAUGAACAUUUCUCUGAUUACUCUAAAAUAUUUAAUUGAACUACUAGAAAAGAAUGGUUCUAAUGAUGUUCCCUUUCAUCUGUAAUUAAAAUCUAAUGAAGCUUAAUUGCACUUAAAGAGCAUAUAUUUGGGCAUACAGUACUGUGCAGUAGUUCUAAGCAGUUGUGAAAAAAUUUGUAUUGUGAGUGUGUGUGUAUAUAUAAAUAUAUCAUAUAUAAUAAGCCAUGAAUACUUUUUAACCAGUGUGAUACAUGUGAAGACAUCUUUUUUUUAAUCAACAUUUCUGUGAAAUUGUAUCUAAGUAUAACAUAUUUUACAAUUGAUAUUAAUAUCUAUUAUGAUAAUUACUAGUAAUUUGAAUGAAUUUCCAAUUACUCAUAGCUGCUCAGUACAGCUUGGUGGUCAAAUGUUCUGAAAUCAACGUAUUCUCAUUCUACUAAACCUUUAGGUCUUAGUACUUUUGAUUUAGUUUGUUAUGUUUGUUCCAUCUGUCAUGUCUCUUUUGUACAGGUAUGUGUGUGUGGCAGACAGGUUGUUCCAAACAUCUUUGAGAACUUGCCACAGAUCUAUGUAUUUAGGGUGUCUCAAUUGCUUCUGUCUCUUCAUGUAAUCCCAGACUGACUGGAUGUUGAGAUCCAGGCUCUGUAGGGGCCAUGCCAUCCGUUGCAGGACUCCUUGUUCCACUUCUAUUCGAUAUGCAAAAGGAAAUGUUUGGAAAUUUAAAAUGGGGCAGAAUCUGCUGUUGUGGGGAGAUCUACCAGAGCUGGAGGACAGUGAUGAUGAGAGCCUGGACAGUUUCUCAGAAGAAGAGUACCUCAGAUAAAACAGCAGAUGGCCAAAGGAAGUAGACUCUUGACAGUGGUGAACUUGUUGGCUUUCACUCUCACAGUUUUCCAUUUAAAGCACAUUGUCCAGUCUUUAGCUGACUGGGAAAAGACAAAAGAAAAAUGCCUGUGUUUACCAUCCCACCUUUAUUAAUUUGCAGUCUUAUGAUUUCCCUUCAAAAUUCAUAGUUAGCCAUCAUUUCAGCAUCGUUGCAGAUCAGUUUGUGUGAAAGAGUGCCACUACCAAAGAAGUAAACAAGUUUCCGUUGUCUUUGCUUUAAGGUUGCAGUAGCACAAAACAAGGCAAUAGGACUCUUAAUAUGUAUGAUGUUAUCCUGUGAUGUCUGUUUACAACUUUUAGUAACUGGAGGCUGCAAAUUAAGAUUAGCAUCAGUGUUACAUCAAUUUAAAUUCAGUUUUGUUAAUCCAGGUGUGCUUUGGUACAAAUGCAUUUUCCAAGGAAACCAAGUGGCUACUAGAUAGAUAUAUAGAUAUAGUUGAAGUCAGAAGUUUACAUACACUUAAGUUGAAGUCAUUAAAACUCAUUUUUUAACCACUCCACAGAUUUCAUAUUAGCAAACUAUAGUUUUGGCAAGUCGUUUAGGAAAUCUAUUUUGUGCAUGACACGAGUCAUUUUUCCAACAAUUGUUUACAGACAGAUUGUUUCACUUUUAAUUGACUAUAUCACAAUUCCAGUGUGUCAGAAGUUUACAUACACUAAGUUAACUGUGCCUUUAAGCAGCUUGGAAAAUUCCAGAAACUUAUGUCAAGCCUUUAGACAAUUAGCUUCUGAUUGGAGGUGUACUGAAUUGGAGGUGUACCUGUGGAUGUAUUUUAAGGCCUACCUUCAAACUCAGUGCCUCUUUGCUUGACAUCAUGUGAAAAUCAAAAUAAAUCAGCCAAGACCUCAGAAAAAAAAAUUUGUGGACCUCCACCAGUCUGGUUCAUUCUUAGGAGCAAUUUCCAAAUGCCUGAAGGUACCACGUUCAUCUGUACAAACAAUAGUAUGCUAGUAUAAACACUAUGGGACCACGCAGCGAUCAUACCGCUCAGAAGUGCAAAUCAAUCCCAGAACAACAGCAAAGGACCUUUGCUGGAGGAAACAGGUUGACAAGUAUCUAAAUCCACAGUAAAUUGAGUCCUAUAUCAACAUAACCUGAAAGGCUGCUCAGCAAGGAAGAAGCCACUGCUCCAAAACCACCAUAAAAAAGCCAGACUACAGUUUGCAAGUGCACAUGGGGACAAAAAUCUUACAUUUUGGAGAAAUGUCCUCUGGUCUGAUGAAACAAAAUUGAACUGUUUGGCCAUAAUGACCAUCCUUAUGUAUGGAGGAAAAAGGGUGAGGCUUGCAAGCCGAAGAACACCAUCCCAACCGUGAAGCAUGGGGUGGCAGCAUCAUGUUGUGGAGGUGCUUUGCUGCAGGAGGGACUGGUGCACUUCCCAAAAUAGAUGGCAUCAUGAGGAAGAACAUUUUUGUGGAUAUAUUGAAGCAACAUCUCAAGACAUCAACCAGGAAAUUAAAGCUUGGUCGCAAAUCGGUCAUCCAAAUGGACAAUGACCCAAGCAUACCUCCAAAGUUGUGGCAAAAUGGCUUAAUGACAACAAAGUCAAGGUAUUGGAGUGGCCAUCACAAAGCCCUGACCUCAGUCCGAUAGAAAAUUUGUGUGCAGAACUGAAAAAGUGUGUGCAAGCAAGGACGCCUACAAACCUGAAUCAGUUACACCAGUUCUGUCUGGAGGAAUGGGCCAAAAUUCCAGAAAAUUAUUUUGAGAAGCUUGUGGAAGGCUACCCAAACGUUUGACCCAAGUUAAACAAUUUAAAGGCAGUGCUAACAAAUACUAACAAAGUGUAUGUAAACUUCUGACCCACUGGGAAUGUGAUGAAAGAAAUAAAAGCUGAAUAUUUCAAAUUCUUCUGACCUAAGACAGGGAAUGUUUUCUUCGCUUAAAUGUCAGGAAUUGUGAAAAACUAUUUUAAAUGUAUUUGGCUACGGUGUAUGUAAACUUCUGACUUUAGAUAGAUAGAACACCAAUUCUGAAAAAGUUGGGAUGGUAUGAAAAAU